Molecule: ribosomal RNA, 253 nt
Filed under: uncultured bacterium
Lineage: Bacteria
Description: partial 16S ribosomal RNA
Rfam family: Bacterial small subunit ribosomal RNA
Source: RNAcentral
UACGAAGGGGGCUAGCGUUGCUCGGAAUCACUGGGCGUAAAGCGCACGUAGGCGGACUCUUAAGUCAGGGGUGAAAUCCUGGAGCUCAACUCCAGAACUGCCUUUGAUACUGGGAGUCUUGAGUUCGGGAGAGGUGAGUGGAACUGCGAGUGUAGAGGUGAAAUCCGUAGAUAUUCGCAAGAACACCAGUGGCGAAGGCGGCUCACUGGCCCGAUACUGACGCUGAGGUGCGAAAGCGUGGGGAGCAAACAGG